Molecule: long non-coding RNA, 1136 nt
Filed under: Salvia miltiorrhiza (redroot sage)
Lineage: Eukaryota; Viridiplantae; Streptophyta; Magnoliopsida; Lamiales; Lamiaceae
Description: long non-coding RNA (SMIL_LNC008428)
Source: RNAcentral
AUCAGAUCCCGAAAAUCUCUCUGAUUUUCUUGAAGGCGCCGAUAACAUGGCGAUUUCAACAAAUUCUUAUGAUAAGCUUUUUCAGGGUUAUUUUGUUAUUCAUAUUUCUUUUCAGUAACAAUUGUCGUGUUCGAAUAAUACCUCCAUGAAUCGCCGAGAAGAAGAAGGUAAAAUAUUUCAUAGAUUAAUUAUAUUCGUCAAAAAAAAUUACGCAUUUGUUAAUCUAUGAUUUUUGUUCUUUCUCUAGCACAUAAUGUAAUUCCGUUCAUGAUUAUCAGUAAUCUUUUUUUUUAUCGAUUAUAACAAUGGUGAUAUUUGUCUUUCUAUGCUUUUUCACAUUCGUUUCUUAUAAAAAUGGGGUUCAAAAACUUAUUGGUAGUAGGUGUGUCAAGAAGCAUGUUUUUGUUCGGUGUUUGAAUUGAAUUGGAUUUGUAGGGAUCUUCAAUUGAAUUCUCUGAAUUUUUUAGUAUUUUUUCCUCAUAUGUUUGUCAUGUUUUUUGUUUUGCAGGUUAAGUUUUGAUCGAUUAUAAUUGAAUUUGCAUCCAGAUAAUCUUGGUAAUUUUUUACACAUUAUACCUGAAUAUAAUUCUGUAUUAUGUCGAACAUAUAACACUUUCUUGACGAUAUUUAUUUGUUUUCCUUCAUUCGUGUAUACUGUUGCGUGGAAAUAUUCUUGCUUGUGUUGAUGGAAAUAAUUAGAAAGAUAGGUUGGAGAUCCCUCUCUUGAUUUCGUGAUGCCGUGAUUAUCACUGAUGGAGGCACUAAUUAAUUCGUGAACGAAAGAGUCACGCAGCUGCAGGUGCUCAUGGAGGUACUACUCUAGGAUGUUGAAAUUUAGAAGAAAAUGAAAAGGAUAUGUUAUAUGGCUUUGUAAUGAAUUAUUGUUGCAUACCAUUGAGGAAGGCGUAGUCAUUGGUGGUGGUUGCUGCCUUUAAAGGUUGUCUACAAAGAUUGAUAAAAUCAGAGAGCAAUUAUUUUAGUGAAGCAGCAUAUUUUAGUGUUCUUGUUUUCUUUUCCUUUUUCUUUUGGAACUACAAUAGCUUGUAUGUUUGGUUGUUAGUACUUCUGUUAGUGGAGAAAAAUAGUUCAAGUUCAUAUUAUAUACACAUUGUUCAACGUAUAAACAACAAAGUUCA